This 509-nucleotide ribosomal RNA is filed under the name uncultured bacterium. Its description in RNAcentral is "partial 16S ribosomal RNA". It matches the Rfam family "Bacterial small subunit ribosomal RNA", at positions 28 to 523 of the family's 1533-position model. The record is from RNAcentral.
GACGAACGCUGGCGGCGCGCUUAACACAUGCAAGUCGAGCGAGAACCAGCCCUUCGGGGCUGGGGAGAGCGGCGAACGGGUGAGUAACACGUGGGUAAUCAACCCUCGGUACUGGGAUAGCCCGGGGAAACCCGGAUUAAUACCGGAUGGCCCUUCGAAUCCUCGGAUUUGAAGGAAAAGGUACCUUCGGCCUCCGACCGAGGACGAGCCCGCGGCGGAUUAGCUUGUUGGUGGGGUAACGGCCUACCAAGGCGACGAUCCGUAGCUGGUCUGAGAGGACGAUCAGCCACACUGGGUCUGAGACACGGCCCAGACUUCUACGGAAGGCAGCAGUGGGGAAUCUUGCGCUAAUGCGGGAAACCGUGACGCAGCGACGCCGCGUGGGGGAAGAAGGCCUUCGGGUUGUAAACCUCUUUCAGGAGGGACGAAGCUACUCGGGUUAAUAGCCCAGAGGGUGACGGUACCUCCAGAAGAAGCCCCGGCUAACUACGUGCCAGCCGCCGCGGUAA